CACUGCCCAGAGCUCGGCUGGCUCCGACCACAGCCUGCGCUCGUCCUCCCCCGAGGAGAGCGGGGCCGGGUUCCUCCUGCGGAAGGACAGCAAGCGCCGGGCCACGCUGCACCGCGUCCUCACCGCCGAGGCGCCGGGCAUCAUCGCUGCCUUGGAGGAGAGCCAGAGCACGGCGGGGGCGAGGUUGGACUCGGAGCAUCUCGCCCAGCUGCUGAGCUGCCUGCGGAGCUACAUCCAGUGCCCCAGCCAGCACCAGCUGUGCCAGGACCUCCUGGCACUGCAGAGCCGGCUGCGGGAAGAGGGUCUGAGCCUCUCCCACCUCCAGGCUCCCCUCUUUGCCUUCCAGGCAGCGGUGAGUGCCCGGGCUGGCGCGGUAGGGUGCUGUGUGGGUGAUGCCCUGGCAUGGCGAUGCCCUGGCAAUGCUCUGCCCCUUCCAGGUGAGACGGGUGCUGCGCCGGCACCUCAUCAAACCCCACUGGAUGUUUGCGCUGGAUGAUGCCGUGAGCCAGGCGGUGCAGGCAGCUCUCCCCAUGCUGGUGAGAGGUGGGUGGCACUGGGGGAUGGCCAGGACAUGGGUCCAGGUCCCAUCACCCCUCCAGGGUGGGCUGGGGGAUUUUGGGGCGCUGGGAAAGGGAUGUGAGGGGGGAGCCCGCACUGGGCCCAGCUCCCUGUUUUGUCACCGGUGCUCUGGGGUCUGAGGCCAUCAGGCACCUCCCUGGGCCCAGCACUGCCUCUGCCCCCACAGACCUGGGACCGAAGGCCAGCUGCCUGGCAGGGGACAGCCCCAAGGGCACGAGUGACGAAGAUGACCCCGUGCCACCGAGGCUGCCCAUCCCCAAGAGUCGACCCCAGCGGGGCAGCCCCAAUUCGGGGCUCAGCACUAAAUCGGGGCUCAGCACCUGGGCAGACCCCCUGCCCUCCCUGCAGGCAUCCUCGGCGCUGGUGGCACAGCUCUGCCACCUCCGCAUGGAGACGGGCAGGUAGGGCUCCACUGCUCCUCGUGCCUCCAUCUCCCCGGGUGCCAAUCUGUGCCCCACCCAGGGUGCCAGUCCGUGCCCCCCCCCGGGUGCCACUCGGUGCUCCACUCUCCCCCAGGCUGCUCCAGGAGCUGGCCGAGAAGGAGCAGGAGUGGCAGCGGCUGAUGCAGCAGGUGCUUCGCUCAGGGGACGAUGACACCGCCAUCCCCAGCCAGUCCCAGUGCAGGGGGGAGCAUGGGGAGGCCCCCCCAGGGUGCUUCACCCCAGGGCAGGAUUGCUCAUCCCCAAGCCCCCAGCACUCCCCGGGACGGGCUGACCCCCUCCUCCUCGAGUGGCUGCAGCGGCACGGCACAGACGUGGCCACCAUGGCCACGCUCCUCUCCCACGACUUCACCCUCCGGGACCUGCUGGGCUGUGCCACCCCUGAUGACCUCUUCUACACGGGCAUCAGGCGUGGGCCAGCGUACCGCCUCUGGGCAGCCAUCCUGGAGCAUCGCCGGACCCUCACCCAGCGGGAGCGGGGGGGACCCCCACUCCAGGGCUGUGACACAGCCCUGGGGAACCCAGCCAGUGGAGCCCCGGGGCUGCCACCACGGCAGGGCUGGCAGGAUGGUGACAGAGGGGACACCCCGGGAGCAGGCGGUUGCAGCGGCUCCAGCCCCACCCCAGAGGAAGAAGUCGGGGUACAGCACCCAGAGCAAUAAAC
Athene cunicularia (burrowing owl) is the source of this 1683-nucleotide long non-coding RNA. The record is from Ensembl. Lineage: Eukaryota; Metazoa; Chordata; Aves; Strigiformes; Strigidae.